AAAGAUGCACAUUACAUUGUUGGUAAUAGCUGUUGAUAAUUUGGCAUUUGAAAUAAAUGGAAUUAUAAUAGCAGGAUCAAUUACUCGCUUACAUGUAAAACUGUGAUUUUUACAUACAUGUAUUAUUCAUAUGUGUGUAAAAAUUUAUAAUAAUUAGAUUUCUUGGUUCUACCUUACACGUGCCUGGAGGAUUUGAUAGACAAGAAACUGGCUCAUUUGUGGGAACUUUAAGCAGUGUUGAUAUGCCUGCGUUACAUGUUCUGCUGUACGUUGCGCUACAGUUAGCCAACACAAAGAUGACUGACUCAUUAGGAUAUGAUUUUCCCGUUUAUUCAAGAGAAAACUGUCCAACGAAUGCCAAAGAAUUGUCUGAUGCAUCUGUUAGGUUAAAUUGCAACGAUACACAUGGGUAACAUUGUGUCCCUGAUAAAAAUUUCUCAUCUCUUAUAGAAUUUUGUUAUCCGAGAGGGAGACGUAUUCCUUUUCAAAAAGGGAAUUGUUUGGAACUCGCCUAUACUGGAAUUCUAAACCACGUCAAGUGUGGUCAUUUCAGCUAUGGUUGUCCUGACAAGGAUUAUUUCAGCAAUGAAAUUU
Long non-coding RNA from Saccostrea echinata, 594 nucleotides. RefSeq lists it as uncharacterized. The record is from RefSeq and is a predicted model, not a curated record. The transcript is spliced from 4 exons. NCBI's taxonomy places the organism in Eukaryota, Metazoa, Mollusca, Bivalvia, Ostreida, Ostreidae.